CUCUUCCUUCCCAACCAAACAUGUUUUAACUUCCUCUCUCUCUCUCUCUCUCUCUCUCUCUCUCUCUCUCAGUACAUGGAUGUCUUUCUCAAGGUGUAUUUAGUCAUUAUCUUCAGAGAAGUGAACCUGCAAAUGAAUAAAAUGGGUGGUGUUCUUUCAAAGGUAGCUUGUACCAAGUAGCUUUCUUCUGUCAAAUUUUCUCUUUCUCAGAAGCUAGGGUUUUCUCAGUGCAAUUCAAGCCACAAAUGUUCCCUUCCACAAAUAGUAUCAGUCCUUUUCCACAUCUCUCCUCCUCUUUUUACGACCUUUCUCCUUACAUUAUUGACCAUGAAGCUAAUGAUCUUUUCCUUCAACAUCACCAUCCACUCACAGUUCCUUCCUUACCAGUCACCGAGACUCUGCUACAAACACCAGCUUCCAACAAUGCCAUGAUCUCUAAUAUUAAGCAGGAUAUUAAUGUCGGCUUCAGUGGAAAUCAACAUGACCCUCAUGUUUUCCUUCCUGGAAAAAAGCCUGUGAAGAAAGAUAGGCACAGCAAAAUUUACACAGCUCAAGGUCUAAGAGAUCGGAGAGUGAGAUUGUCCAUUGAAAUUGCCCGUAAGUUCUUUGAUCUCCAGGACAUGCUAGGUUUCGACAAAGCAAGUAAAACCCUAGAGUGGUUACUCUCAAAGUCAAAAAAGGCCAUCAAGGAAGUAGCACAGAAUGGAGGUGCCAAAAGUUUGUGUUCAACUUCUGCGUGUGAAGUAGCAUCAGAAAAUGGUGAGCAAAAGGGUAUAGUUUUAAAGAGUGAGUCAUUGGCAGGCCGUGUCUGUAAUGAGAAAAAGACGAAAAGGUUGCAAAAAGCUGCAUCCUCCAAUCUUGUUGCAAAAGAAUCCAGGGCAAAGGCAAGAGCAAGAGCAAGGGAAAGAACAAGAGUUAAAAUGUGCACCAGAAGAUUCCACGAGUCCAAACAUCCUGACCCAACCUCUUCCAACAACUACUUAUCAAGGUCGACCUUGACCCAACAACAUCAGGCUUGUGAUAAAUCUCACAACGGCUUGAAAGUGGUUGCUCUUCCUCAUCAUGAUCAAGUAGAGCAGCCUGACUCCCACUCAUCACUUGCCAAUCUAGUUCCCAAAGGAAACAUUAUUGAGGAGUCAAUAGUGAUCAAAAGGAAGUUGAAGCCAUCUACAAUGACGGAUUAUCAACAAAACCUUGUAAUGUUAAAAGAAGUAACUUGCAACAACAGCAACUUGCCCAAUUUGCCCCAAAAUUGGGACAUUAACAGUGCAAUUGCACGCUCUAGCUUCUGCGCUAUUACCAACGUAAACAGAUCUAAAGGACUGCAUCUCUAUGGCUAGCUCUGGGAGGCUGAAAACAAUAGUCAAUGUCUACGCCAAUACGGCGUAUAAGCAUUAACGAUGAAAGCUUAACAUCAACAUCCAGAAACAGACCAAUUAGAAGAAAUGGAAACUCACUGCUUACUCAAAGCAACAUGCAUGGGACAUCAAAGUUAAGAAUAUAUAGCAGUCCAUUAAUCCAAAAUGAUUACAGGUAUGUCAAAUUAAGUUGACUGAAUGUUAUGUUCAGAGGUUGAAUGUGGACUUUGGACUACCAAGAUAGGGACCUGGAAAUGGAACUACAAACCAUCAAAAGGUUUUAUGUAUUUAGCUUAUCAUAGUAAUUAAGGUUCUUGCUGAAAAUUUAUACCCAAUUACCUAAUUCUUUGGAUCUUUAAGACAUUAAAAAUUUCGGUGAUGUUCUGAAGGUGAUCACUAAAUUUAAUGAUACAGGGAUUCAGUGUGGUA
This is an RNA transcript of Hevea brasiliensis (rubber tree), 1787 nucleotides long. It is a transcript of the gene named transcription factor CYCLOIDEA, with no coding region annotated. NCBI's taxonomy places the organism in Eukaryota, Viridiplantae, Streptophyta, Magnoliopsida, Malpighiales, Euphorbiaceae. The record is from RefSeq and is a predicted model, not a curated record. The transcript is spliced from 3 exons.